GCGGUAACAGAGAGAAGCUUGCUUCUCUGCUGACGAGCGGCGGACGGGUGAGUAAUGCCUGGGAAAUUGCCCUGAUGUGGGGGAUAACCAUUGGAAACGAUGGCUAAUACCGCAUGAUGCUUUCGAGCCAAAGAGGGGGACCUUCGGGCCUCUCGCGUCAGGAUAUGCCCAGGUGGGAUUAGCUAGUUGGUGGGGUAAAGGCUCACCAAGGCGACGAUCCCUAGCUGGUCUGAGAGGAUGAUCAGCCACACUGGGACUGAGACACGGCCCAGACUCCUACGGGAGGCAGCAGUGGGGAAUAUUGCACAAUGGGCGCAAGCCUGAUGCAGCCAUGCCGCGUGUAUGAAGAAGGCCUUCGGGUUGUAAAGUACUUUCAGUGGUGAGGAAGGGGGURUGGUUAAUAGCCAUAUUCUUUGACGUUAGCCACAGAAGAAGCACCGGCUAACUCCGUGCCAGCAGCCGCGGUAAUACGGAGGGUGCGAGCGUUAAUCGGAAUUACUGGGCGUAAAGCGCAUGCAGGUGGUUUGUUAAGUCAGAUGUGAAAGCCCGGGGCUCAACCUCGGAGUUGCAUUUGAAACUGGCAGGCUAGAGUACUGUAGAGGGGGGUAGAAUUUCAGGUGUAGCGGUGAAAUGCGUAGAGAUCUGAAGGAAUACCGGUGGCGAAGGCGGCCCCCUGGACAGAUACUGACACUCAGAUGCGAAAGCGUGGGGAGCAAACAGGAUUAGAUACCCUGGUAGUCCACGCCGUAAACGAUGUCUACUUGGAGGUUGCGGUCUUGAACUGUGGCUUUCGGAGCUAACGCGUUAAGUAGACCGCCUGGGGAGUACGGUCGCAAGAUUAAAACUCAAAUGAAUUGACGGGGGCCCGCACAAGCGGUGGAGCAUGUGGUUUAAUUCGAUGCAACGCGAAGAACCUUACCUACUCUUGACAUCCAGAGAAUCCUGCGGAGACGCGGGAGUGCCUUCGGGAGCUCUGAGACAGGUGCUGCAUGGCUGUCGUCAGCUCGUGUUGUGAAAUGUUGGGUUAAGU
RNAcentral lists this ribosomal RNA (1030 nucleotides) under Vibrio sp. RNAcentral's name for it is "bacterial SSU rRNA". The record is from RNAcentral. Lineage: Bacteria; Pseudomonadati; Pseudomonadota; Gammaproteobacteria; Vibrionales; Vibrionaceae.